Callithrix jacchus (white-tufted-ear marmoset) is the source of this 737-nucleotide long non-coding RNA. RefSeq lists it as uncharacterized. Lineage: Eukaryota; Metazoa; Chordata; Mammalia; Primates; Cebidae. The record is from RefSeq and is a predicted model, not a curated record.
UGGAGUCAGGGUCAAGUCUGGGCUGGAACUGGACCAUGAGAAGAGUGCACAAGGUCUCCCUCGGAAGCCUGGAUUCCUGGACUUACUGAGUCCUGCGUGCAUCCCACCAAGUCCAGUAAGAAGCACCAGAAGAAGGAACAUGGCUCGCUGUCUUGGAGCCCUGACGAUGAACAGCAGUUAAGACGUUGAGACCUGCAGAGGCGCCGCUCGCGCUGGGCUGAGCGCACGUGAGGAGGCUGCGGAGAGGAAAAGCACACUGUGGAGAAGGACCAAGACGAAGGUGAUUGUAAGCAGAUAACGUGCUGCAGGCGGGCAGCUGAGCACUCAAGAAGAGCCUCUCAGCCAGUCGGUUUAUUGUUAAAGAAGAACGGCUUCCCAAUUGUUAAUUCUCAGCUGUGACCAGGGAAGGACAGAUCGAAUUUUCAUUUCUCAGUGAGACUCUUGAUGUUAUCCAUCGCCUUCUGAAGGAAUCAUUAGUUACUGUGGAGGAGAACAAAGACACAUGCUCAAGGUCCUUCAAGAUGUAUCCAGAAGGCAGGAUUGUCAUCCUAACCAAUGACAGUUCCAGAUAUGUCAUUGCUCCUGACGACCUCCCAAAAGGACAAGAUAUGGAGAUGGAAGACAGUGAUAUUGCUUAUAUUGACCCUGUCUAGGCCAACGCUAAUGUGUUUGUGUCUUAGUUUUUAACAAAAAAGUUUAAAAAGAAAAAAAUUUAUACAAAAAAAGCCAAUAAAGGU